Molecule: long non-coding RNA, 2385 nt
Organism: Passer montanus (Eurasian tree sparrow)
Lineage: Eukaryota; Metazoa; Chordata; Aves; Passeriformes; Passeridae
Exons: 4
Source: RefSeq, a predicted model, not a curated record
GCACACUCCAAGCAGUAUCAGUGCAGUUGUAGCUUGAAAAACAUCCCCAAAAAGCUCCAGAAAUUGCUUCGCACGCUCACAAAAAGAGCGAUGGGACUGGCACAAGGUCAGUACAUGGUACAGGUGUAGCUGAGGGGUGAGUGGGAUGUUUUUCCCAACAGGAGGAACAGGCAGCCAACAUGACCAAGUUUAAGAUAAGGUGGGAAAGAAAAGGUCAGUAGAUUAAAUUCUUCUGCUUCAAAUUAUCACACAGAGCUAGGAGAGGUAUUUAUUAGAACAUACCAAUAUGUUUCCAGAUGUUAAACAAGGAUUAAGGGCAACAUAGCCCCAAAACAAGGGGCUAAUGUGCAGAAGCUAAUUCCACUACUAGAAUAAGGAUAAAAUAGCUCAGAAAUGGGGGUUUCUGGUGCACAGGCCCCUCCCCUCACCCCCCCAACCUGUGCCACUUCUUCCCUGGCACUUACAUAUUUAAGUACCCUUCUUCAUGCUUCUGGUUGUUGAGAUGACCUCUGGCACUUUCCCAGGUGCUCACAAGGAACCCUGCUGAUCCUCCCCGUGGUGUAGUUAAAAGGUCAUGGGGGACUGGGAAGCAUCUGAGCAAUUUAAUAUGGAGCUGGGUGUGAGUGGGGUGGGUCCAGCCCCAGGCAGGGCAGCACAUUCUCAGGCUUUAUCCCACAAGCUGUGCUGAGGAGCUGGAUUUUAAACUGUUCCCAGUCUGGGGCAGAGGCUUUUCUUCAUAACUAGGGACAACAGGAUAACUAGAAAUCAGAGGAUUUUUCUUCUUGCUCUUCAAACCUUCAAGUUUCUAGGAAUCCCACAGAGAAGAAGAGGAAGUGAGAACAUGAGAGGGAAAACAACAUGGUGGCACUGAGGUCAGUGGAAACAAGGAGGGGGAAGAGGAGCUUCGAGUGUUGGAGCUGAGAAUCCUCUGCAGGUCGUGGAACACAGCCUUGACCAAAGUGCUGCAUCCUCCAUGGAGGGAAGGAGUGAGAGAAGAGGGAAAGUGCAGGGGUUUGGUCUCAAAACCAGGUUCCAGUUCCCAGCAGGACCCAAGGCAGGCAGUGCUGAUGUGGUCAGGCACCAAUGCUCUCCAUAAUGGUGACUUUGAAGCUGGAGGAGCAGCAGGUCAGGACCAGCACUCCUCUCUGGGACCCCAAACUGCCCAUCUCACAUGGGGCAGGUGGGGACAUGGGACCCCAUUUCUCCAGCCAUGCAGUCCUUGAAAAUGCCUCCUGAAAUGAAGGACCCAUCUUGUGUUUCUUUCUUUGGUUGAGGCUGGAGUGUGGCUGAUAGGAGACAAAUCCACCUUUUUCCUUCCUUUGAUGACAAAAAUGCCAACUGAAAAGAAACCUUCAGGAAUCUGCUGCCAGCAGAAGGGAGCCAGGCUGGGGUGGAUCUGCCAUGCACGUGUAACACAGCUCUUGACUGCACCUGGGCCCAGGAUUUUCCAGUAAGAGACUGAAAUGUCCAAGAUUCCCUGAUUUCUCUGAUUUUCACUGCCUUGUUUUCUCAAUCCUUUUGGGUACACUUGCCUUGUUUUGUCAGGAACUGCCAAACCUCAGCAAAUAAGCAGAAAACUGCAUCCCAAAUGAAUUCUGUAGCAGAACAUCAUAUCAGGCUGUUGUCCAAGGUCCUUCCCUUCAACACAUCUGCAUUAGCAGAGCAGAAAAGAAGGGCAUCUCUCUAAAAAUAAAAUUAUUGAAUAUUUAGGUGCUGCUAUUUUCAUCAUACGUUGUUUUAAAGCUUCAGUUCACUUGGUGCUUUUUUAAGACUUGGGGGAAGGAAAGCACCUGUAUUACCUACAAAAAUGGUUCUGUUUGUAGCCCCUGGGCACAGACUGGCCCAGAAACAGAGGAAGUUGAGGGCAGUGGCUGUGGAAGGUAAGGAGGCAGAAAGGGGAGGAAAACUGGAGCUGAUGUCUUGAUCCUGCUUUGUUUGCUGCUGCCUGAGCCCUCCUCCCUUCCCACCCUUCCAGCUGGCCCUGGAGCCCAAGGUGCAGAUCAGAAAGCCACGUGGUAGUCUUGGGAUGCCUUGUUUGUCCUGGAUGCUGGGAGAUGGAAACACAGAUUUCCAGGAAAAUUUACUGGCACUAAACAGAUUUACCAUUGUGAGGGAGUUUGGAUUUCACAUGUGAAGGUGGGGAUGAAGGAUCCAUAGCUCCAUCCCCCCCUACAGUGACUCCAGCUGAGGCCCAGGACACAAAAUCCACCUUUUGGUGGAAUUGAGACCACCCAAGAGCCACACUUACAAAGCAGGUGGACAAAUCACAGCGAAUGAGGACUGGUUUCUUAUCUACACUUUUCAUCUGACAUCACUUCUUCCUAUCUAGUCACUUGAUCUGCCUUCUAAAUCCAAACUUCAGUAUUUUUAGUUACCUAAAAAAAG